CACGCAGUAAACGAUGAUUACUGGCUGUUUGCGAUACAAUGUAAGCGGCUGAGCGAAAGCGUUAAGUAAUCCACCUGGGGAGUACGUUCGCAAGAAUGAAACUCAAAGGAAUUGACGGGG
RNAcentral lists this ribosomal RNA (120 nucleotides) under uncultured bacterium. Its description in RNAcentral is "partial 16S ribosomal RNA". It matches the Rfam family "Bacterial small subunit ribosomal RNA", at positions 796 to 918 of the family's 1533-position model. The record is from RNAcentral.